RNAcentral lists this small nuclear RNA (114 nucleotides) under Zalophus californianus (California sea lion). Its description in RNAcentral is "U2 spliceosomal RNA (ENSZCAG00015017405.1)". It matches the Rfam family "U2 spliceosomal RNA". From Rfam's summary of the family: U2 is a small nuclear RNA (snRNA) component of the spliceosome (involved in pre-mRNA splicing). Complementary binding between U2 snRNA (in an area lying towards the 5' end but 3' to hairpin I) and the branchpoint sequence (BPS) of the intron results the bulging out of an unpaired adenosine, on the BPS, which initiates a nucleophilic attack at the intronic 5' splice site, thus starting the first of two transesterification reactions that mediate splicing. The record is from RNAcentral. Lineage: Eukaryota; Metazoa; Chordata; Mammalia; Carnivora; Otariidae.
AUCGCUUCUCGGCCUUUUGGCUAAGAUCAAGUGUAGUAUCUGUUCUUAUCAGUUUAAAAAAUGUAGGCCAGGGUCUUUAAUUAUAAUGGGGGAUCUGUGCUAUAUUUAUCACAU